UCGUUAAGUGAUGACAUGUUAGAUAGAAUGUCACAUCAUCACGCCUUGUCACAGACAAUUCAUUGCCUCAUCAACAACUUCAAUGACGUGUCAGUGACAAGGUGUGAUGAUGUGACACUCUGUCUGUCAUGUUAUCACUUAACAGAA
Molecule: non-coding RNA, 147 nt
Organism: Glycine max (soybean)
Lineage: Eukaryota; Viridiplantae; Streptophyta; Magnoliopsida; Fabales; Fabaceae
Source: Rfam